Molecule: non-coding RNA, 129 nt
Filed under: unclassified sequences
Source: RNAcentral
GCAGUAAAUAUUACUGCAUCUAUACUGUGAGAAUCAGUAUCAACUUUGUGGGGCUUAUAUUUAGACAAUGUAUAAUAAUAGUUGCAAAUGUUAUUAUAUAAUCUAAUAUUAGUGCAGAUGAAAUCAAAG